CUUCCCUCAACCUGAAAGCUGACUUCAACUAUAUAAAAUCAUUAAGCAGCUUCGAGUCUGGAAAAUUUGUUGAAUGUACCGAGCAAUUAGAAUUGUUACCAGGAGAAAAUAUCAGUCUACUUGCUGGAGGAUCAAAAGAAAAAAUAGUAGACAUGAAAAAACUGCUUCAUAACAUGUUAAGUCCAGAUCCAAGGGAACCUCAGAAAUCCAUUGAAGUUCAAUUGUUAAGAAGUUCUGUUUGUUUGGCAACUGCUUUAAACCCGAUAGAACAAGAUCAGAAGUGGCAGUCUAUAACUGAAAAUGUGGUAAAGUACUUGAAGCAAACAUCCCGCAUCGCUAUUGGACCUCUGAGACUUUCUACUUUAACAGUUUCACAGUCUUUGCCAGUUCUAAGUACCUUGCAGCUGUAUUGCUCAUCUGCUUUGGAGACCACAGUUUCUAACAGACUUUCAACAGAGGACUCUCUUAUUCCACUCUUCGGUGAAGCUUUAUGUUCAUGUAAACAGCAUGACGUGAGGCCAUGGAUGCAGGCAUUAAGAGCUUCAAAUGAAUUUUAAAGGAUGACUGAUGGUCCUUGGAAGAGAAACCGUAAACAAAUAAGGUU
This 604-nucleotide long non-coding RNA is filed under the name Pan troglodytes (chimpanzee). RNAcentral's name for it is "long non-coding RNA NONPTRT006287". Lineage: Eukaryota; Metazoa; Chordata; Mammalia; Primates; Hominidae. The record is from RNAcentral.